CCGGGUGACGGAGCCUACAGAUGGGGUCGAACGAGCGUCCGGUGAAUGACGUGCUUGCACUGAUUUCAACAAUGAAGCGAGUGGCGAACUGGGGAGUAGCAGGUGGGGAAUCUGCCCAGAAGCAGGGGAUAACACUUGGAAACAGGUGCUAAUACCGUAUAACAACAAAGUCCGCAUGGAUUUUGGUUGAAAGGUGGCUUCGGCUAUCACUUCUGGAUGAUCCCGCGGCGUAUUAGUUAGUUGGUGAGGUAAAGGCCCACCAAGACGAUGAUACGUAGCCGACCUGAGAGGGUAAUCGGCCACAUUGGGACUGAGACACGGCCCAAACUCCUACGGGAGGCAGCAGUAGGGAAUCUUCCACAAUGGACGAAAGUCUGAUGGAGCAAUGCCGCGUGAGUGAAGAAGGGUUUCGGCUCGUAAAACUCUGUUGUUAAAGAAGAACACCUUUGAGAGUAACUGUUCAAGGGUUGACGGUAUUUAACCAGAAAGCCACGGCUAACUACGUGCCAGCAGCCGCGGUAAUACGUAGGUGGCAAGCGUUGUCCGGAUUUAUUGGGCGUAAAGCGAGCGCAGGCGGUUUUUUAAGUCUGAUGUGAAAGCCUUCGGCUUAACCGGAGAAGUGCAUCGGAAACUGGGAGACUUGAGUGCAGAAGAGGACAGUGGAACUCCAUGUGUAGCGGUGGAAUGCGUAGAUAUAUGGAAGAACACCAGUGGCGAAGGCGGCUGUCUAGUCUGUAACUGACGCUGAGGCUCGAAAGCAUGGGUAGCGAACAGGAUUAGAUACCCUGGUAGUCCAUGCCGUAAACGAUGAGUGCUAAGUGUUGGAGGGUUUCCGCCCUUCAGUGCUGCAGCUAACGCAUUAAGCACUCCGCCUGGGGAGUACGACCGCAAGGUUGAAACUCAAAGGAAUUGACGGGGGCCCGCACAAGCGGUGGGAGCAUG
Molecule: ribosomal RNA, 942 nt
Filed under: Levilactobacillus brevis
Lineage: Bacteria; Bacillati; Bacillota; Bacilli; Lactobacillales; Lactobacillaceae
Description: bacterial SSU rRNA
Rfam family: Bacterial small subunit ribosomal RNA
Source: RNAcentral